UUCUUGGUAUCUCAGGGGUAAAGAAUCUGCUUGCAGUGCAGAAGACCCAGGUUUGAUCCCUGGGUUGGAAA
This 71-nucleotide transfer RNA is filed under the name Bos taurus (domestic cattle). It matches the Rfam family "tRNA". From Rfam's summary of the family: Transfer RNA (tRNA) molecules are approximately 80 nucleotides in length. The record is from Rfam by way of RNAcentral. RNAcentral also lists the same sequence under 3 other names. Lineage: Eukaryota; Metazoa; Chordata; Mammalia; Artiodactyla; Bovidae.